CCAGGAUUAGAUACCCUAUUAUUCUUAAACUAAAACAACCUUAAGAAGUACUUGUUAUAAGCAUGAAACCUAAAGGAUUUGGCGGUGUUUUACCUAACCAGAGGAACCCGUUCCGUAAAUCGUCAAAACACGAAACACCUUACCCAAAGAACGUUCAUAUACCGUCAUUUAACUCAAGCCAAUAAGCAAUAUUAAAAUAGGAGACUAAAAAAUUAGAUCAGGUGUGGCAUCUUUGGGGGAGAAUAGGUUACAUUUUAAAAGCAAGUGGAAUUUUUAUUAAAAAAGAAUGAAAAAGGAUUUGUAAGUAAUUUUAGUAA
RNAcentral lists this ribosomal RNA (317 nucleotides) under Ligidium hypnorum. RNAcentral's name for it is "partial 12S ribosomal RNA". The record is from RNAcentral. Lineage: Eukaryota; Metazoa; Arthropoda; Malacostraca; Isopoda; Ligiidae.